This 304-nucleotide unclassified non-coding RNA is filed under the name Hevea brasiliensis (rubber tree). Lineage: Eukaryota; Viridiplantae; Streptophyta; Magnoliopsida; Malpighiales; Euphorbiaceae. The record is from RNAcentral.
UCAAUUAUAACAUCCGCAUGUCGAAGAUCCCCCAAAUUGGAUGUGUAUUUCAGAUGGCUCAUAGCAUCAGUAGCUGCUAACUGCGGGAGCUGUCCCUUGGAGACGAAGCGGCGGACGGAGUCGGCGAUGGCCUGGGCCGCGGCGUCGAGGGCGGCAGUGUUGGAAUCGAGGAGAAAAACGUCGAAUCCGGCGACGGCGGCGAUCUGAGCGAUCCCCGAUCCCAUCUGCCCCGCGCCCACCACGCCGAUCACCUCCUUCGCCACUUCCGCCAUGGCCAUAAUCAGCUGGUACCGGAGUAACGGAG